GAUGAACGCUAGCGGCAGGCCUAACACAUGCAAGUCGAGGGAGAAGCCCUUUCGGGGGCAGAAACCGGCGCACGGGUGCGUAACGCGUAUGCAACCUACCUUUCACAGGGGGAUAGCCCGAAGAAAUUUGGAUUAAUACCCCAUAAUAUUAUUGAAUGGCAUCAUUUGAUAAUUAAAACUGAGGUGGUGAAAGAUGGGCAUGCGUCCUAUUAGCUAGUUGGAGUGGUAACGGCACCCCAAGGCUACGAUAGGUAGGGGUCCUGAGAGGGAGAUCCCCCACACUGGUACUGAGACAGGGACCAGACUCCUACGGGAGGCAGCAGUGAAGAAUAUUGGUCAAUGGUCGGAAGACUGAACCAGCCAUGCCGCGUGCAGGAAGAAUGCCUUAUGGGUUGUAAACUGCUUUUAUAUGGGAAGAAUAAGGCGUACGUGUACGUGAUGACGUACCAUAUAAUAGCU
RNAcentral lists this ribosomal RNA (459 nucleotides) under Capnocytophaga gingivalis. Its description in RNAcentral is "bacterial SSU rRNA". It matches the Rfam family "Bacterial small subunit ribosomal RNA", at positions 28 to 492 of the family's 1533-position model. Lineage: Bacteria; Pseudomonadati; Bacteroidota; Flavobacteriia; Flavobacteriales; Flavobacteriaceae. The record is from RNAcentral.